Molecule: unclassified non-coding RNA, 2604 nt
Filed under: Hevea brasiliensis (rubber tree)
Lineage: Eukaryota; Viridiplantae; Streptophyta; Magnoliopsida; Malpighiales; Euphorbiaceae
Source: RNAcentral
AAGUAAUCACGCAAAUACAUUGGUCUAUAUGAUCAUUAAAAAAAAAAAAAAACUGGCCAACAAAGUCAUUCAAUUAAACUUACAAAGGCAAGCCAUGUUUCCUCCUACAUCCACUCUCUCUCACGCAUUCAUCUUGUACGCAUACGCUAGCUAAUUACACAACAAAACCCACUUUCUUUCUUUUAGCUUUUCCACUACCUCAAAAAAACUCACCUUGCUUUGCUUUUCUUGUUUUGGAUUGUUGUAGAUCUACAAAGAAGAAAAGAUGAUUCAAGAACUCCUAGGAGGUGCUCGCCUUAUUGGAGGAGAGAGGAAAAUUUCCAUUACUGGAACCAUUUUGGAAGGAACACCUUCUACUUCUCCUUCGUUAUCUCCUUCUUCUUCAACUACAACUACAUCAAUAACAACUACUGCUACAACUACUGCAACUGCUGGUAAUUCAACUUCUUCAACUUCAGAGAACCUCAGAUGCCCUAGAUGUGAUUCUUCAAACACUAAGUUCUGCUACUAUAAUAACUAUAACCUCACUCAGCCUCGCCACUUCUGCAAAACCUGUCGCCGAUAUUGGACAAAAGGUGGUGCUCUUAGGAACGUUCCAAUCGGGGGCGGAUGCAGAAAAAACAAGAGCACAACUGUAUCUACAUUAGUUGGAAAGUCAAGCACCAGUAAGAUGAAAACAGUGGCAUCUGAAAUCGGAAGAUCGUGCUUCGGGAAUGGGUUUGAUCAUGAACUUCCAUCAAGCCCAAUUAUGUGGGCUUCACCCCAGAAUUCUCAUCUUUUAACCUUACUGAGAGCUACCCAUAACCCUAACCCUAACCCCAGUACGCUAUCUAAUUCUCUUGCUGUGAAGGAGGAAGGGUGUAUGAUCGGAACCCACAUGAUAUCUGAGCCAACGGUUGCAACCGGUGCACUAAAUGCCCGUACCCUGGGCUUGGACCCUCUUACCCAAGUCCCUUCUCUGGGCACUCAUUUUUGGAAAAACAGCCAACACCAAGCUCAACAGCACCAACAAACUGGAUUCAUAGUUCGUGAAGCUCAAAACUCAGGGAUUCAAGAAUUGUAUCAAAGACUCAGAUCAUCAACUAAUUACUAUAGCAAUAACUCUCCUGUAGUUCUAAGCAACGUGGCUUCUUCCUCAACUGCAUCUUCAACCAUUUUAGAGUCUUCUCCUGUUGCUGGAGGUGAAUUGGGCUACUGGAAUCCAACGUUUUCAUGGUCUGAUCUUCCAACAACUAACGGUGCAUAUCCUUAAGAACCCUUUCUUUAUUUCAUUUUUUAUUUCGUUUGAUUUAGAUUUAUUUCAUAUGCUAGGGUGGUUGCGGGUAUAUGGAUAUGGUCGUAGAAUCAGUCUUUUCUUUUCAUUUCCUUUUAAUGUUCUUAAUUAUGUAUGUGUGUUUUUGUGUGUUUAAUGUACCAAGUUCCAAGAAGUGGUAGAAAUGGAAAAUAUUAGCUGCUUUCAGUGCCUUCUGUUGUUGCAGAGUGUAUCCAUUUCCAUUCAAAUGGUAAAAAAUUCUCUCCUAAACGUACAAAUUAUUAUGAGACCUGAACCUUCCUAGGGCUGUUGGUUGUGUGUGUGUGUGUGUAUAGUUCUAAGAAAGAAGAUGAAUUUGUGGGUACUUGCAGUCCAAUCUUUUCUUUUAUUCUAUGAGAAUAAAACACUAGAAAGAAUAAAACCUCCACAUGAUUAAUUAUCAUCUUGGUUUGCUCAAAACCCUUUAUUGUUCCUUUUUAUAUAUGGUAAGAGCAGGCAGCUGGUGGUGGUGGUGGUGAUCUGUUGGGUGGCAUAUAAAGAUUCUUUUACUAUUAUUAUUAUUUGUUCUUACGAGAAAGUGAUGAAUAGAGUACUUAAAGCAGCCUUUUGGGAAAGAAACCAGCAAUUGAUUCUCAAAGUCGGAAAAGGAUUCCACUUGCAGCCUUGUCUCUGGCCACUCUGGUUCUAAGGAUUUUGCUUAGAUUUAAUCACUUCAAGUACCGAAUCUUUUUCUUUCCACAUACAUGUUCUCUUACUAUAUAGUUUAGGCAGUUUGAGCAUGAAAGAAUAUAGCUAGUGCUGAAUUUUAUUUUCCUUUAAUCGUAGCACUCUUUCCAAAUUCUUUUAGUGUUUCUUGGCAAAAGAAACUUGGUGCAAUUAAAAAUUGCAAUGCAGAUCUCAGGUAUAUACCAUCUCCUUUACGAAAGAAGGAUGAACAACAGGAUAGGGUGAUGGUGCAGAACCGUGAAGGUUUUUUUACCCUUUCAAAUAGAACAACCAUCUAAAUUUGAUUGAUAAAGAAAUAGCCAGCAACAAAGUUUAUGAGGUAGAUAAAGAUAAAGAUAUUCACCCUUACCCAAGAUGAUCCAUAUGCUUCAAAAAAGGCAGAUGUAGACUCCAAAAGCCAUGGAAUUGGAAGCAUGUUACCAUUAAGCAUAAUUUAGAAAUCGAAGGGUGGAAGACUAGGAGAAGAGUCUAAGAAGAUACAUAGACUAGGACGCCUGCAAUCUAGCCGAAUUGAAUCAAAUACAAUAGUGUGCAACAUUUUUCUCUUGUUUGAAUAUAUUUUGAGUUUUAAAACAUUAUUCAAAUUUGAUUUAUUAAAAUUUUAAGCUGGCUAGCUCAAAUUUUUU